This 801-nucleotide ribosomal RNA is filed under the name uncultured Oribacterium sp. Its description in RNAcentral is "bacterial SSU rRNA". It matches the Rfam family "Bacterial small subunit ribosomal RNA", at positions 96 to 916 of the family's 1533-position model. The record is from RNAcentral. Lineage: Bacteria; Bacillati; Bacillota; Clostridia; Lachnospirales; Lachnospiraceae.
UGGCGGACGGGUGAGUAACACGUGGGUAACCUGCCUUAUGGAGGGGGAUAACAGAGAGAAAUCACUGCUAAUACCGCAUAAGCACACAGUACCGCAUGGUACAGGGUGAAAAGAUUUAUCACCAUAAGAUGGACCCGCGUCUGAUUAGCCAGUUGGCAGGGUAAAAGCCUACCAAAGCAACGAUCAGUAGCCGAUCUGAGAGGAUGACCGGCCACAUUGGGACUGAGACACGGCCCAAACUCCUACGGGAGGCAGCAGUGGGGAAUAUUGCACAAUGGGGGAAACCCUGAUGCAGCGACGCCGCGUGAGUGAAGAAGUAUUUCGGUAUGUAAAGCUCUAUCAGCAGGGAAGAUAAUGACAGUACCUGACUAAGAAGCCCCGGCUAACUACGUGCCAGCAGCCGCGGUAAUACGUAGGGGGCAAGCGUUAUCCGGAUUUACUGGGUGUAAAGGGAGCGUAGACGGAAUGGCAAGUCUGAAGUGAAAUACCCGGGCUCAACCUGGGAACUGCUUUGGAAACUGUUGUUCUAGAGUGUUGGAGAGGUAAGUGGAAUUCCUGGUGUAGCGGUGAAAUGCGUAGAUAUCAGGAAGAACACCGGAGGCGAAGGCGGCUUACUGGACAAUAACUGACGUUGAGGCUCGAAAGCGUGGGGAUCAAACAGGAUUAGAUACCCUGGUAGUCCACGCUGUAAACGAUGGAUACUAGGUGUCGGGGUGCAAAGCAUCUCGGUGCCGUCGCUAACGCAAUAAGUAUUCCACCUGGGGAGUACGUUCGCAAGAAUGAAACUCAAAGGAAUGACGG